RNAcentral lists this ribosomal RNA (492 nucleotides) under uncultured bacterium. RNAcentral's name for it is "partial 16S ribosomal RNA". It matches the Rfam family "Bacterial small subunit ribosomal RNA", at positions 29 to 507 of the family's 1533-position model. The record is from RNAcentral.
AGUGAACGCUGGCGGUAUGCCUAACACAUGCAAGUCGAACGGCAGCACAGUAAGAGCUUGCUCUUACGGGUGGCGAGUGGCGGACGGGUGAGGAAUACAUCGGAAUCUACUUUUUCGUGGGGGAUAACGUAGGGAAACUUACUCUAAUACCGCAUACGACCUACGGGUGAAAGCAGGGGAUCUUUUGACCUUGCGCGAUUGGAUGAGCCGAUGUCGGAUUAGCUAGUUGGCGGGGUAAAGGCCCACCAAGGCGACGAUCCGUAGCUGGUCUGAGAGGAUGAUCAGCCACACUGGAACUGAGACAGGGUCCAGACUCCUACGGGAGGCAGCAGUGGGGAAUAUUGGGCAAUGGGGGCAAGCCUGAUCCAGCCAUACCGCGUGGGUGAAGAAGGCCUUCGGGUUGUAAAGCCCUUUUGUUGGGAAAGAAAAGCAGCAGGUUAAUACCCCGCUGUUCUGACGGUACCCAAAGAAUAAGCACCGGCUAACUUCGUG